AUCGCUUCUCGGCCUUUUGGCUGAGAUCAAGGGUAGUAUCUGUUCUUAUCAGUUUAAAAGUACCUAGUACUGAAAGUGUACAGUAUGCCUGUUACAAAGAUAGUGCAAAAGUGUACAUAUUUAUGUAUUCUUUUUAUUUAUAUAUUUUUAUUAUAUAGAGAGAGCAUG
This 168-nucleotide small nuclear RNA is filed under the name Suricata suricatta (meerkat). RNAcentral describes it as "U2 spliceosomal RNA (ENSSSUG00005003295.1)". It matches the Rfam family "U2 spliceosomal RNA". Rfam says of the family: U2 is a small nuclear RNA (snRNA) component of the spliceosome (involved in pre-mRNA splicing). Complementary binding between U2 snRNA (in an area lying towards the 5' end but 3' to hairpin I) and the branchpoint sequence (BPS) of the intron results the bulging out of an unpaired adenosine, on the BPS, which initiates a nucleophilic attack at the intronic 5' splice site, thus starting the first of two transesterification reactions that mediate splicing. The record is from Rfam by way of RNAcentral. Lineage: Eukaryota; Metazoa; Chordata; Mammalia; Carnivora; Herpestidae.